RNAcentral lists this ribosomal RNA (1356 nucleotides) under uncultured bacterium. RNAcentral describes it as "bacterial SSU rRNA". It matches the Rfam family "Bacterial small subunit ribosomal RNA", at positions 57 to 1381 of the family's 1533-position model. The record is from RNAcentral.
GCGAUCUCGCCUUGAAGAUCGGAGUGCUUGCACUCUGUGAAACAAGAUACAGGCUAGCGGCGGACGGGUGAGUAACACGUGGGUAACCUGCCCAAGAGAUCGGGAUAACACCUGGAAACAGAUGCUAAUACCGGAUAACAACAGAUGAUGCCUAUCAACUGUUUAAAAGAUGGUUCUGCUAUCACUCUUGGAUGGACCUGCGGUGCAUUAGCUAGUUGGUAGGGUAACGGUCUACCAAGGCGAUGAUGCAUAGCCGAGUUGAGAGACUGAUCGGCCACAUUGGGACUGAGACACGGCCCAAACUCCUACGGGAGGCAGCAGUAGGGAAUCUUCCACAAUGGACGCAAGUCUGAUGGAGCAACGCCGCGUGAGUGAAGAACGGUUUCGGCUCGUAAAGCUCUGUUGUUGGUGAAGAAGGACAGGGGUAGUAACGGACCUUUGUUUGACGGUAAUCAAUUAGAAGGUCACGGCUAACUACGUGCCAGCAGCCGCGGUAAUACGUAGGUGGCAAGCCGUUGUCCGGAUUUAUUGGGCGUAAAGCGAGUUGCACGCGGCUCGAUAAGUCUGAUGUGAAAGCCUUCGGCUCAACCGGAGAAUUGCAUCAGAAACUGUCGAGCUUGAGUACAGAAGAGGAGAGUGGAACUCCAUGUGUAGCGGUGAAAUGCGUAGAUAUAUGGAAGAACACCGGUGGCGAAGGCGGCUCUCUGGUCUGUUACUGACGCUGAGGCUCGAAAGCAUGGGUAGCGAACAGGAUUAGAUACCCUGGUAGUCCAUGCCGUAAACGAUGAGUGCUAAGUGUUGGGAGGUUUCCGCCUCUCAGUGCUGCAGCUAACGCAUUAAGCACUCCGCCUGGGGAGUACGACCGCAAGGUUGAAACUCAAAGGAAUUGACGGGGGCCCGCACAAGCGGUGGAGCAUGUGGUUUAAUUCGAAGCAACGCGAAGAACCUUACCAGGUCUUGACAUCCAUAGCCAGUCUAAGAGAUUAGAUGUUCCCUUCGGGGACUAUGAGACAGGUGGUGCAUGGCUGUCGUCAGCUCGUGUCGUGAGAUGUUGGGUUAAGUCCCGCAACGAGCGCAACCCUUGUCAUUAGUUGCCAGCAUUAAGUUGGGCACUCUAAUGAGACUGCCGGUGACAAACCGGAGGAAGGUGGGGAUGACGUCAAGUCAUCAUGCCCCUUAUGACCUGGGCUACACACGUGCUACAAUGGACGGUACAACGAGAAGCGACCCUGUGAAGGCAAGCGGAUCUCUGAAAGCCGUUCUCAGUUCGGAUUGCAGGCUGCAACUCGCCUGCAUGAAGCUGGAAUCGCUAGUAAUCGCAAAUCAGCACGUUGCGGUGAAUACGUUCCCGGGCCU